GAUGAACGCUGGCGGCGUGCCUAAUACAUGCAAGUCGAGCGAAGCGGGGACGGGUGAGUAACACGUGGAUAACCUCCUUUAAGACUGGGAUAACUUCGGGAAACCGGAGCUAAACCGGAUACUUAUCGAUGGAUCCGCGCUGCAUUAGCUAGUUGGUAAGGUAACGGCUUACCACGGCAACGAUGCAUAGCCGACCUGAGAGAGUGAUCAGCCACACUGGAACUAAGAAACGGUCCAGACUCAUACGUGAGGCAGCAGUAGUGAAUCUUCCACAAUGGGCGAAAGCCUGACGAAGCAACGCCGCGUGAAUGAUGAAGGUCUUCGGAUCGAAAAACUCUGUUAUUGGGGAAGCGGUACCUAAUCGGAAAGCCACGGCUAACUACGUGCCAGCAGCCGCGGUAAUAC
RNAcentral lists this ribosomal RNA (405 nucleotides) under uncultured bacterium. RNAcentral's name for it is "partial 16S ribosomal RNA". It matches the Rfam family "Bacterial small subunit ribosomal RNA", at positions 28 to 526 of the family's 1533-position model. The record is from RNAcentral.